This 253-nucleotide ribosomal RNA is filed under the name uncultured bacterium. RNAcentral describes it as "partial 16S ribosomal RNA". It matches the Rfam family "Bacterial small subunit ribosomal RNA", at positions 524 to 776 of the family's 1533-position model. The record is from RNAcentral.
UACAGAGGUCUCAAGCGUUGUUCGGAUUCAUUGGGCGUAAAGGGUGCGUAGGCGGCGCGGUAAGUCGGGUGUGAAAUCUCGGAGCUUAACUCCGAAACUGCAUUCGAUACUGCCGUGCUUGAGGACUGGAGAGGAGACUGGAAUUUACGGUGUAGCGGUGAAAUGCGUAGAUAUCGUAAGGAAGACCAGUGGCGAAGGCGCUCUGCUGGACCAUAACUGACACUCAGGGACGAAAGCUAGGGGAGCGAAUGGG